GUGCUCGCUUUGGCAGCACAUGUAGGAAAUCUGGAACGAUACAGGGAAGGUGAGCAGGGCCCCUGUGCAAGCGUGAUGCUCAGAUUCCCGAAGCCUUCCGUAUUUUU
RNAcentral lists this small nuclear RNA (107 nucleotides) under Catagonus wagneri (Chacoan peccary). The record is from RNAcentral. Lineage: Eukaryota; Metazoa; Chordata; Mammalia; Artiodactyla; Tayassuidae.